UACGUAGGGUGCAAGCGUUAAUCGGAAUUACUGGGUGUAAAGCGUGCGCAGGCGGUCUUGCAAGACAGAUGUGAAAUCCCCGGGCUCAACCUGGGAACUGCAUUUGUGACUGCAAGGCUGGAGUACGGUAGAGGGGGAUGGAAUUCCGCGUGUAGCAGUGAAAUGCGUAGAUAUGCGGAGGAACACCGAUGGCGAAGGCAAUCCCCUGGACCUGUACUGACGCUCAUGCACGAAAGCGUGGGGAGCAAACAGG
Molecule: ribosomal RNA, 253 nt
Filed under: uncultured bacterium
Lineage: Bacteria
Description: partial 16S ribosomal RNA
Rfam family: Bacterial small subunit ribosomal RNA
Source: RNAcentral